This 449-nucleotide ribosomal RNA is filed under the name Bacillus sp. (in: firmicutes). Its description in RNAcentral is "bacterial SSU rRNA". It matches the Rfam family "Bacterial small subunit ribosomal RNA", at positions 352 to 797 of the family's 1533-position model. The record is from RNAcentral. Lineage: Bacteria; Bacillati; Bacillota; Bacilli; Caryophanales; Bacillaceae.
UUCCCUUGAAAACUCGCUGUUGCAGACGUGAUCCACGCCAGCGUGAGUGAUGAAGGCUUUCGGGUCGUAAAACUCUGUUGUUAGGGAAGAACAAGUGCUAGUUGAAUAAGCUGGCACCUUGACGGUACCUAACCAGAAAGCCACGGCUAACUACGUGCCAGCAGCCGCGGUAAUACGUAGGUGGCAAGCGUUAUCCGGAAUUAUUGGGCGUAAAGCGCGCGCAGGUGGUUUCUUAAGUCUGAUGUGAAAGCCCACGGCUCAACCGUGGAGGGUCAUUGGAAACUGGGAGACUUGAGUGCAGAAGAGGAAAGUGGAAUUCCAUGUGUAGCGGUGAAAUGCGUAGAGAUAUGGAGGAACACCAGUGGCGAAGGCGACUUUCUGGUCUGUAACUGACACUGAGGCGCGAAAGCGUGGGGAGCAAACAGGAUAAGAUACCCUGAAUAGUCCCA